GCCAGGAACAGUGGCGCAUGCCUGUAGUCCCAGCUACUUGGGAGGUUGAGGUGGGAGGAUGGCUUGAGUCCAGGAGUUUUGGGCUGUAGUACACUAUGCUGAUCGGGUGUCCGCACUAAGUUCAGCAUCAAUAUGGUGACCUCCCGGGAGCGGGGGACCACCAGGUUGCCUAAGCGGGGGUUAACCACCCAAGGUCAGAAAUGGAGCAGGUCAAAACUGCUGUGCUGAUUAGUAGUGGGAUCACGCCUGUGAAUAGCCACUGCACUCCAGCCUGAGCAACAAAGCAAGUCCCCAUCUCU
This 299-nucleotide signal recognition particle RNA is filed under the name Aotus nancymaae (Ma's night monkey). Its description in RNAcentral is "Metazoan signal recognition particle RNA (ENSANAG00000004387.1)". It matches the Rfam family "Metazoan signal recognition particle RNA". From Rfam's summary of the family: The signal recognition particle (SRP) is a universally conserved ribonucleoprotein. It is involved in the co-translational targeting of proteins to membranes. The eukaryotic SRP consists of a 300-nucleotide 7S RNA and six proteins: SRPs 72, 68, 54, 19, 14, and 9. Lineage: Eukaryota; Metazoa; Chordata; Mammalia; Primates; Aotidae. The record is from RNAcentral.